UUUUUAGUGUUUUAUAUGUUUGGUUUUAUUAUAUUUUUAAUAUUUGUAGUCAAUG
RNAcentral lists this transfer RNA (55 nucleotides) under Philometroides sanguineus. RNAcentral describes it as "tRNA-Lys". The record is from RNAcentral. Lineage: Eukaryota; Metazoa; Nematoda; Chromadorea; Rhabditida; Philometridae.